This 489-nucleotide ribosomal RNA is filed under the name uncultured bacterium. Its description in RNAcentral is "partial 16S ribosomal RNA". It matches the Rfam family "Bacterial small subunit ribosomal RNA", at positions 30 to 507 of the family's 1533-position model. The record is from RNAcentral.
AUUGAACGCUGGCGGCAGGCCUAACACAUGCAAGUCGAACGGUAACAGGAAGCAGCUUGCUGCUUCGCUGACGAGUGGCGGACGGGUGAGUAAUGUCUGGGAAACUGCCUGAUGGAGGGGGAUAACUACUGGAAACGGUAGCUAAUACCGCAUAACGUCGCAAGACCAAAGAGGGGGACCUUAUGGCCUCUUGCCAUCGUAUGUGCCCAGAUGGGAUUAUCUAGUAGGUGGGGUAACGGCUCACCUAGGCGACGAUCCCUAGCUGGUCUGAGAGGAUGACCAGCAAAACUGGAACUGAGAAACGGUCAAGACUCCGACGGGAGGCAGCAGUGGGGAAUAUUGCACAAUGGGCGCAAGCCUGAUGCAGCCAUGCCGCGUGUAUGAAGAAGGCCUUCGGGUUGUAAAGUACUUUCAGCGGGGAGGAAGGGAGUAAAGUUAAUACCUUUGCUCAUUGACGUACCCGCAGAAGAAGCACCGGCUAACUCCGUG